This 115-nucleotide ribosomal RNA is filed under the name Ctenochaetus hawaiiensis. RNAcentral's name for it is "partial 16S ribosomal RNA". The record is from RNAcentral. Lineage: Eukaryota; Metazoa; Chordata; Actinopteri; Acanthuriformes; Acanthuridae.
UGCUAAACAGCUAACCCAAAACUCAAAAAACAACAGACCCAUAUAAAUAACCCCAAAAACUCUAAUAAAACACUAAACAAACCAUUUUUCCCCCUUAGUAUAGGCGAUAGAAAAG